Long non-coding RNA from Glycine soja, 1058 nucleotides. RefSeq lists it as uncharacterized. NCBI's taxonomy places the organism in Eukaryota, Viridiplantae, Streptophyta, Magnoliopsida, Fabales, Fabaceae. The record is from RefSeq and is a predicted model, not a curated record. The transcript is spliced from 3 exons.
GUUGACAAGAGAAGCUUUACAAGCCCUUGAAGACUGCAGUGCGAAGAUAGCGAGCGAACCAGGCAGCUAGUGAAGAGAAGUGAGUUAGUAGCAGUCACCGGCGGCGGAUAGACAUGACCGGAGAAGAGAUUUCCGGCCCCGCCGGCCCCAAGCUCCUCCGUCUUGUUUCCUUCGUCGGCGCCGCAGUGAUCUGCACCGCCGCAAUCAACAAGUAUCGCGAAUACGAGAGGAACACCAUCAUCAAGCAACAGCAACAGCAAGUGGUAGAGACACAUAAUUCGUCGGAAUCUGUUGCCGUUCCCAAAACUCUCAAAUGAAAAGAAUCAGUGGAAGGGACUCAUAGGAAUUUACAAAUUUGAGUUCAAAAUGACAUUCUGACUUCUGAUGCAAAAUCCUUAUGUUGUAUAUAAAUAUUGGGUUCAUUUUCAAUUGUAUUGCAUAACAAUGCCAACAAUCCCAUUACUCAGAAACUUAUGAGAGAAAAUAGUUAGCUAGUCUAGAUCUUUUAUUGAUGUCUCUAGUGAAAGAGGAUCAAUACAAGAGGACUAUGGCGCUAUAUUUACAGUAUGUUACCGAGCUGAGCCUACCGGAUUACUAAUCUAAUAUGGAAGGGACUCAUAGCAAUUAUAAAUGAAUUGACUUCUUGGUUUUGACAUUACUUAGUGACUGUUGAGAAACCUGUAUCUCCAGCACUACACAACUGUCUAGUCUGAUAAACAAGUAUCUAGUGUUUUUUUGCCUUACAGCAAUAAGGCAGACAUCCUCAAUGCCUACAUAUCCAAGUAGUAAUAGACAAAAAAAGAGGCCAAGGUACAAAUAAUUGGCCUGGUACAUGCAUUUGUAAGGAUUUAUCUUCUAUAAGUACAUAUGCACCUUGUUAGUAUGGGAAUGCAUUUGUAAGAAUUCAUAUUCAUAUAAUAUAGGUACAGUAGUUGGUCUCAAUAUCUCACACCCGUGGACCUCCCACUGUAGUUAUCUGGAUGAAAUGUAACUGGACAAGCUUUCCAAGAAACUGUUUGAAACACAUUUCUUUAAGUAUGCGACUGAUUAGAUGUCCA